CACGGCUCAGCACGCCGACUCCUUGCUGCACCCCCUCCUUCCCCCCUUUUUGGGCUUUGCGGGGCGCCGACAAGAAGCAACCUCAAGACGAGCGUGCGCAUCUCCGUGCCUAUGUAAAUGCAGCGAUGAACGGCAGAUUACACCCCGCACGCCGUGGACUGCGUUACGAGAAGCGCCAUCGACGAUCAUUUCUUCUAGGCGGUGUGUGCUUGCUAGUGUGCCUUGCGCUCGGCCUCUUCGUGUUACCUCACACCUCCUCAAGCGAUGUAACACAGCCCACGGUUUCGAUGGCGCCAGCGCCGCCCUCGUCGCUGGCGCCUCGAUUGACUGAGCAGGCAACAUCAGGGGCGCCAAGCUCCACUCUCGCCUUCACCGACGCCCCUCCUGACACUCUCACUUCUAUCAACACCGCGGCACCGCUGCCGCGUCCCGCUGUGGACGAGGGGAGCAAUGCCGCGCAUGCCACGGUAGAGGCCCCAACGGGGAACACGCACACCAUCUCCGACGCUCCACCACCCACGGAAAGACCACAGCGCGACUCAGUCGAGUUACACAGCCGAUACGCGGCAGAGCUCGCGCAACUCGAUGCCCUCGACGUCUUUCCGCUCCGCCCUCACGAGCGCCGUAUCUCGUUUGUGGAGUUCGCGCGCUGUCUUGCCACCCGUCUCUCCGUCAGCCCCGACACGGGAGUAGAGGUGGAGCGGCACGAUCUCGCCUCCGACCGGUACGCACCCUUUCUCAUCUCUGUCACCCUGGAGAACACGCAGGAUCUCAAGGCGCUCAUCUGCAACUUGACGAUGCCGUACCGCUACAUUGUACUCGCCCAAAACGGCGACACGCCAGAGGUGACGCCGUUUUUCCGCCUGCUGCGCCGCGUGUUCGCCUUCACGACGCGUCUGACGGUUCUCCAGUUCCCCGACAACAUUGGCUUCGCCGGCGCCGUCAAUGCCGGUCUGCGUGAGGCCCUCAGCCACCCGUUCAGCGAGGUGCCCUUUCUCCACAUUGUGCACAACGACGUGCGCUUCUUGUGCUCGUCGCUUGAACAGGCUGUGGCACGCGCCUACAAGACGACAGCGAGGGACACGGAUAUGAUCGAUGCUCUGGAGAAGGAGGUUGCGACAGAGCCAAACGAGUACACGCCGCUGAUCCGGCAGCCCGACGGCUUGCGCACGCUGCUUCUGCCGGGUACCCCGCUGCCCCAGCAACAUGACCGCAAACCGGUUGUCGUCACGUCCGCGCUGUUGCCGGACCGUGUUCGGUACAUGACCCCGUCCAGGCGCGCGGAGCUGAUGGUGGGGCACACUUCCUUCAUGUUCGCCAACAGCCGCGGCGAGUACACGAGCGUCUUCCUUUCCCGCCUGGCUGUGCUGACGGUCGGCUUCUUUGACGAGAAUUUCUUUCCUAUCCUUUACGAUGACACGGACUACCGCUGGCGUGCCCACCUGCUCGGCUUCGUUGAAGACCACAACGCUGCGAUGAACGACCAGGUCAUCUCCUUCGACCUCGACUGCGUCAACCAAGCCAUGAGCGACGCCGACGGCGAUGGCAAUGCAGAGGGUCCAUUGGGGGGGCUUCGCAAGGCAGCUACGGGGCCGACGCUGUCCCCGAAAGGCAAGGCCCUUCAACGUGACUGCCGCAAGGCCUUCUAUGCCGGGGUGCAGUACGCGUAUAUGCAGCAGAAGUGGGGCGUGGAGUCCAUGACGGAACUCAUGCAGGCGCAUACAAGGCGGGAGCCCUUUAGCGGCGAGGCGUUCGCUGGUAGACUGCGCCUGCCGCUGGACGCGUGGGUGGUGGAUAGGAACCGGUUGACCAACCUGCGGACGUGGCUGCGCGACGUGGGGCGGCGCAUCCUUGAUGUGGAUAACUAUAACACUGACGUUAUUCUGCAGGCUGUCAGCCCUUAAGCCAGUGGGCGGAAAGCUGAAGUGUGUGGGUGAAGAAUGAUGGACGGGAGCACCGCUCGAAAGGAGGGGCAGGUGGGCCGUGUGAGGGCUUGCAUGUGCAUGCAGGUGACAUCGGAUGUGUGGGUAUCUGCUCCCUGUCGCUUGAGACUGGCCUGGCGAGCACAUGAGGGCCACGCGCCGCUCACGGCUGGAGCGGCUUGUGUUUCCUUGCACUGCACUGUUGACCUCCCAUAGCCGUCCUGCCUAACUUCGUGACGCUGCGCCUGUCCGCAUCUUUCCCACGCCCUCUCACUGUUCUUUCUUGUCUCUUCUCAUAUACCUUGUGCUGCAGCGUGAUGUUGCCUCGGUCGCAGCAGCGGACAGCAGCAGCGAUACC
RNAcentral lists this unclassified non-coding RNA (2280 nucleotides) under Leishmania donovani. RNAcentral describes it as "gene:LdHU3.26.0690(CDS-product:galactofuranosyltr ansferase_lpg1-like_protein)". The record is from RNAcentral. Lineage: Eukaryota; Euglenozoa; Kinetoplastea; Trypanosomatida; Trypanosomatidae.